Molecule: ribosomal RNA, 253 nt
Filed under: uncultured prokaryote
Description: partial 16S ribosomal RNA
Rfam family: Bacterial small subunit ribosomal RNA
Source: RNAcentral
UACGGAGGGUGCAAGCGUUGUUCGGAAUCAUUGGGCGUAAAGCGCGUGUAGGCGGCCAACUAAGUCUGAUGUGAAAUCCCAGGGCUCAACCCUGGAACUGCAUCGGAUACUGGAUGGCUAGAGGAUGAGAGAGGAUGGUGGAAUUCCUGGUGUAGGGGUGAAAUCUGUAGAUAUCAGGAGGAACAUCGGUGGCGAAGGCAGGUCUCUGGGCUGACACUGACGCUCAUGCACGAAAGCGUGGGGAGCAAACAGG